This 468-nucleotide ribosomal RNA is filed under the name uncultured Desulfobulbus sp. RNAcentral's name for it is "bacterial SSU rRNA". It matches the Rfam family "Bacterial small subunit ribosomal RNA", at positions 920 to 1382 of the family's 1533-position model. The record is from RNAcentral. Lineage: Bacteria; Pseudomonadati; Thermodesulfobacteriota; Desulfobulbia; Desulfobulbales; Desulfobulbaceae.
CCCGCACAAGCGGUGGAGUUAUGUGGUUUAAUUCGAUGCAACGCGAAGAACCUUACCUGGCCUUGACAUCCCGGGAAUUUCCUGGAAACAGGAGAGUGCUUUCAUUAGAGAGAACCUGGAGACAGGUGCUGCAUGGCUGUCGUCAGCUCGUGUCGUGAGAUGUUGGGUUAAGUCCCGCAACGAGCGCAACCCUUGCCUUUAGUUGCCAGCAGUUCGGCUGGGCACUCUAAAGGGACUGCCGGUGUCAAACCGGAGGAAGGUGGGAUGACGUCAAGUCCUCAUGGCCUUUAUGGCCAGGGCUACACACGUACUACAAUGGCCGGUACAAAGGGCAGCGACAUUGCGAGAUGGAGCGAAUCCCGAAAAGCCGGUCUCAGUUCGGAUUGCAGGCUGCAAUUCGCCUGCAUGAAGUCGGAAUCGCUAGUAAUCGCAGGUCAGCAUACUGCGGUGAAUACGUUCCCGGGCCUU